This 923-nucleotide long non-coding RNA is filed under the name Sorghum bicolor (sorghum). RNAcentral's name for it is "long non-coding RNA (SBIC_LNC001853)". The record is from RNAcentral. Lineage: Eukaryota; Viridiplantae; Streptophyta; Magnoliopsida; Poales; Poaceae.
GUUUGCAGACCAGAUGAUGAUUAAUUAGUAUAAUGUCAAGUGUGAAUGAAGUGCUCUAUUUAUUUAGUAUUAUAACUACACGUAAGCCUUGUUUAGAUCCAAAAAGUUUUUGGAUUUCGACACACUAGCAUUUUCGUUUUUAUUUGACAAACAUUGUCCAAUUAUGGAGUAACUAGGCUCAAAAGAUUUGUCUUGCGAUUUACAGGCAAACUGUGUAAUUAGUUUUUGUUUUCAUCUAUAUUUAAUGCUCCAUGCAUGUGCCGCAAGAUUCGUUGUGACGGGGAAUCUUGAAAAGUUUUUGGUUUUUGGGGUGAACUAAACAAGGCCUCUAGACCAUAAAUCAUACUGCUACACACUGUUAUUGUUUAUUUAUUUGUUGAUGAGUAAAAAAUACUCUACUCUCUCCGCUUUUUUAUGGUUUUAUUAUUUCAUUUUAUUUAUUAGUCUGAUGAUAAGGGCAUUGAUGAGAUGCAUCCAUGCAGAUGCAGGGCAGGGCAGCCAUGGCCUUGUUUAGUUCCAAAUUUUUUUGCAAAACAGGUACGGUAGCACUUUCGUUUGUUUGUGAAAAAUAUUGUCCAAUCAUGAAUUAACUAGGCUUAAAAGAUCUGUCUCAUCAAUUCCAACCAAACUAUGCAAUUAGUUUUUAUUUUCAUCUAUAUUUAAUACUCUAUGUAUGCGUCUAAAGAUUUGAUGUGACGAUGUGACUGGAGAAUCCGAAAAAUUUUGCAAAUUUUUUUGAACUAUAGAGCACCAUGUCCGUCCAUGUGCCUCUGUUGUGCCUGCCUGCCUGCUGCUGCUUUGUUUACAGUUGAUUAUGAGUCACUGACCCUUUGCUUUGCAUUUGCUGCCUCGUCAGCACACCACGUGCACGUGCUGAUGUGCACCGACACCCGCCACACACUGUUCCAGGCUUCCAGCACUGU